This 392-nucleotide ribosomal RNA is filed under the name uncultured bacterium. RNAcentral describes it as "bacterial SSU rRNA". It matches the Rfam family "Bacterial small subunit ribosomal RNA", at positions 114 to 518 of the family's 1533-position model. The record is from RNAcentral.
CGCGUGAGCAACCUGUCCUUCACAGGGGGAUAACACAGCGAAAGUUGUACUAAUACCGCAUGAGACCACACUGGGACAUCCCAGAGGGGUCAAAGGAGCAAUCCGGUGAAGGGUGGGCUCGCGUCCGAUUAGAUAGUUGGUGAGGUAACGGCCCACCAAGUCGACGAUCGGUAGCCGACCUGAGAGGGUGAUCGGCCACAUUGGGACUGAGACACGGCCCAAACUCCUACGGGAGGCAGCAGGUGGGGAAUAUUGGGCAAAGUGGGGGAAACCCUGACCCAGCAACGCCGCGUGAGGGAAGAAGGUUUCGGAUCGUAAACCUCUGUCCUUGGUGAAGAGUAAGAGACGGUAGCCAAGGAGGAAGCCCCGGCUAACUACGUGCCAGCCGCCGC